Molecule: long non-coding RNA, 583 nt
Filed under: Felis catus (domestic cat)
Lineage: Eukaryota; Metazoa; Chordata; Mammalia; Carnivora; Felidae
Description: lncRNA (ENSFCAG00000053161.1)
Source: RNAcentral
CCUGUGCACUCUGCCGUGUGUGUUAUACCUCGAUACGCUUUUUUAAACAAGAGAAGAAACACGCACGCCUAGAUUAGAGCGCGGAAAGCGACGCGGAGCGGAGGGGGCACCUGGAGGGACCCGCAUCUCCCCCGUCCUGGCUCUCCGUCUCUAUCUGCGGCGUGACAGCCGAUUCCGGGAGCUGUGCUGCUACGUUUUUGCUCCUGGCCGACGGAGGAGCCCUGCGCCCGGAAGAGCAGCCCCCCAGCCUUUAGACAUCACCGAAGCAGAACCUUCUCCCACAUCCUUCCAGAUCCCGGCCGGGUUCGGGAAGCAUUCACGGUCCCUCCCGGACGCCACAAGGCCAGAGUUUCCGUCUGUUUUGUUUGCCACAAAGACCCUGUAUCCAGACAGCACCUGACACACAGCGACACUCAAUAAUUUUUAAUGAGAUAAACUAUUCAGGGGAUGUUAGCUCCGGAGAAGUGUCCAUGACUGUUCCUGCCUCCGCCCGGCUGACCGGCUGACCUGGCCCGUUCCCCAGGCGAGGACGACGUCGUCCGGGGAGCUGGGGCAUCGCUGGUCCUGACCCAACACCCAGGGC